UCCCUGGUGGCUCAGACAGUAAAGCGUCUGUCUGCAAUGCUGGAGACCCGGGUUAGAUUCCCGGGUCGGGAA
This 72-nucleotide transfer RNA is filed under the name Ovis aries (sheep). It matches the Rfam family "tRNA". Rfam says of the family: Transfer RNA (tRNA) molecules are approximately 80 nucleotides in length. Their secondary structure includes four short double-helical elements and three loops (D, anti-codon, and T loops). The record is from Rfam by way of RNAcentral. Lineage: Eukaryota; Metazoa; Chordata; Mammalia; Artiodactyla; Bovidae.